UGGGUUAAGAAAGCUAUCCCUCAUUCUGGGAGGAUUUACUGUCUUGGUGGCAGAAGCAUCUGAGAUAAUGGAGGUAAGAGUGGAGUAGUGAUGUGGCUCUUUCUUCACUAUGCUGCAUCUCACAUAGUGAACUCCACCAGAACCUGGGUGCUGUGGUGCACACGUGCCUUGGUUGCCUCUACAUGAAAUCAGCUCGCGCUCACUCACAUCUAGCAUCUCGAGAUCUGUGUGACAGGAAUGCGUCCACAUUUAUGGGUGUCGAAAAAUAACCACUACAUUUGCACUGUGUUUCUUGCCAGCAAGCUUGGCAGACCAAAUCCUGCUGCUCUGACCUGUCUGGGAGUCUGCAACCUGCAAAGUGAACUGUUCAGCUACCUGCUCAGUCCAGGUCAGCCAGAGCAUCUGUAACGGAAAUUUGAAGUCUAUAUUCAAGACUGUUUUCGACCCCUGAAGUAAGGACAAGAAGUUUGAAUGAAUAUAGAGUCCUGAGUUGAACCUUUGCCCUCUGCCUUACCCCAUUCUGCUCAUUAUUCUGUUUCAAUCUGCUGUUAAAGGAUUCUCCCAUCAGCUUUCAAAUAUCUAAGCAUUACAUAUAAAACUCUGUGUGUUCAAAUAAAAUUAAUCUCCAAUGUGCCA
RNAcentral lists this long non-coding RNA (636 nucleotides) under Junco hyemalis (dark-eyed junco). RNAcentral's name for it is "lncRNA (ENSJHYG00000005174.1)". The record is from RNAcentral. Lineage: Eukaryota; Metazoa; Chordata; Aves; Passeriformes; Passerellidae.